Molecule: ribosomal RNA, 253 nt
Filed under: uncultured bacterium
Lineage: Bacteria
Description: partial 16S ribosomal RNA
Rfam family: Bacterial small subunit ribosomal RNA
Source: RNAcentral
UACGUAGGUGGCAAGCGUUGUUCGGAAUUAUUGGGCGUAAAGGGCGCGUAGGCGGUCUGUCGCGUCUGCUGUGAAAACUCAGGGCUUAACCCUGAGCUUGCAGUGGGUACGGGCAGACUAGAGUGCGGUAGGGGAGACUGGAAUUCCUGGUGUAGCGGUGAAAUGCGCAGAUAUCAGGAGGAACACCGGUGGCGAAGGCGGGUCUCUGGGCCGUAACUGACGCUGAGGAGCGAAAGCAUGGGGAGCGAACAGG